AAACCUAUAGCUCAGUUAGGUUAGAGCGUAUGAUUGAUAAUCAUGAGGUCAGUAGUUCAAAUCUACUUAGGUUUA
RNAcentral lists this transfer RNA (75 nucleotides) under Paulinella micropora. It matches the Rfam family "tRNA". Rfam says of the family: Transfer RNA (tRNA) molecules are approximately 80 nucleotides in length. Their secondary structure includes four short double-helical elements and three loops (D, anti-codon, and T loops). Further hydrogen bonds mediate the characteristic L-shaped molecular structure. tRNAs have two regions of fundamental functional importance: the anti-codon, which is responsible for specific mRNA codon recognition, and the 3' end, to which the tRNAs corresponding amino acid is attached (by aminoacyl-tRNA synthetases). tRNAs cope with the degeneracy of the genetic code in two manners: having more than one tRNA (with a specific anti-codon) for a particular amino acid; and 'wobble' base-pairing, i.e. permitting non-standard base-pairing at the 3rd anti-codon position. Lineage: Eukaryota; Cercozoa; Imbricatea; Euglyphida; Paulinellidae. The record is from Rfam by way of RNAcentral.